RNAcentral lists this long non-coding RNA (4360 nucleotides) under Gadus morhua (Atlantic cod). RNAcentral's name for it is "lncRNA (ENSGMOG00000028055.1)". Lineage: Eukaryota; Metazoa; Chordata; Actinopteri; Gadiformes; Gadidae. The record is from RNAcentral.
CCCAAUUUAAAUCCUUCCCAUGUGGAGAAGACUGAUGGCUCCCCUGCAAGAUAGACUGGUAGAACCAGACUAGCAGCUUCCAUAAACAUCCAGUCACUUCUGUUUCAAUAAGCAGAGGACGGGUGUAUCCCAUCAACGUAUCAGCAGGGGAGCAGGUAGCAAGUUAUGAGUUUAACGUAUAGAAGGAGUCAUUGAAUGCAUGUUUAAUAAUCCUUAAAUUGGACAUGUGGUUUGUUCCCACUUCCCAGGCAGACCCCGCUGUGAGGCUGCGGGUGUGUCUGGAGACGCUGGGCGUGGAGGAAGAGACGCUGGAGGGAGUUCCGGCUCACCUGCGCCUCCCAGUGGCUGUGACCUGCUACUGGUGGAGGAGGGCCAGCCCUGAACUGACGCUCCUCAAAGCUCUGCUGAUGGUCAUGGUCCAAGGAGAACUGAACCGACAGACAGCAGGGACAACAGGUAGGCUGGCAGGGGGAUACCAACCACCACUCUCAGCCUCUGGACGGUGUCAUGACUCACAGCCUCAACCAAUGGCAGGCCUGCCUGAAGGACGCCUCCCAGCUCAACCUGGUGCUCUGCAUGCCUCUCCCUGAACCCCACUACGCCUGGUGAGACCCUCAGACAGUACUGUUUCCAUAGUAACACCAUAUCCAAGAAGUACUGUUUCUAUAGUUACACCAUCAUCUAGCCAGUACUUUUUCAUAGAAAGCCAAUCACCUGGCGGGCACUUUUUGCAUAUUAAAACCGUAACUAGCCCUCAAUGUUUCCAUAGUUACAGCAUCAUUUGAAGCUUAAGUCAUGAAUAACAUUAGAUAACAGAAUAACAUCACAAGAUUGUUAUCUUUUGAUAUACUGAGACAUUUUAACAUAUAGACAUUUGUGACAGGGAAAGUUGACCAAAUGUAGUUGCGACUACAUUUGGUCAACCAAAUGUAGUCGCAAGAUAAGACAAGUGCUUCACUAAUCCCAGGCGGGUUGGUCCAGGUUGUACCAGGGCAGGCUGGUGCACCGGCGGCAGAAGCAGCUCCAGGAGAGGGAGCCAGAGGUGGAAAAUGCCAACUUCGUCAGUCUGUACAGGAGGCUCCUGGGAGCAGUGCUCCGGCCAGACCCAGGGGCCAACAGGAUGGCUGGGGGGCCUGAGGCCCAGCUGAGGGCCAGCAUGGAGCACCUACACCUCAAGAACCAGGAUGAGGAGGAGGAGGAGGAGGAGGAGGAGGAGGAGGAGGAGGAGGAGGAGGAGGAGGAGGAGGGGGGAGAGGAGGAGGAGGAGGAGGAGCUGGGAGGGGCUGAAGGCCGCGAUCAGGGCUUGGAAAGGCCUCUGGUGUCGGUGUCCGACGGGUCCAGGAACCCAGAACUGGGCAGGACGCAGGAGAAGGAGAAGCAGGAGCAGUGCCGUUUUUGGCCAUCCUGGCACCCGAGGUGAGAUCUACACACAUCAAAUGAUUUAUGCACUCAAUAUUUAAAAGUUACCUCACUAGCUAAACACGUGACAACUCUUUCAAUGUUCACUAUGUGAUCUGAUGGCCUUUGUAGGCCGAAACGUUCUCACCAAUUAAAACAUUCUUACUGUACGUCCACACCAGGAGCGACCAAAGCCGCUCACAAAGUUUCGCUGCGAAUUUUUCUGUUCGCUUUGGUCGCUCAAGUCGCUCAUGACGUACAAUUCAAUUAUGCAGACGCAUUUAAAGGAGCCGUAUGCGUUUAGUAGGCCCUACAGACCGCCAUAUCAAAUAGUGAACCCUCCCAUACACCUUGGCCAUAUUGCCGAGACGGUUUUGCUUGUUCGAUAAAGUGCUUCGACAACAAGUAGGACAGUGAUUCCCCCCAAUACAAAAAAAAUCCUAAAAUGUAGGCUAAUUACAACCGAGAACAAAAAACCCUGCGUGCUGUAGUACUUAAAAUAUGUUUCACUGAUCUGGAUCUGCAAAUCAUGAUCUGCACUCAUUCGUCGCAUUCAAAACAAAUAGACAUUCGCGCACAUGGCUAAUUUGCAUACGCGCACAGGACUGGUUGGCUCCGCAAGGCAAAUAAUGGAACAUAUCGAUCUAUCUAGGCUUUUCUGUCUAUCUAUCUAUCUACGCGUGUCUAGUUUUAAUGUGAUGUAUUGUGUGUAUGUCCAGUCAGACUUGUUCUGUGUGGUCUUGUAGGCUACUGUCCUGUGUGGGCCGAACCACCUAAAUGGAUUCCCGACGAUUUGUGUCGUUUGGUAUUAAUAAAGACUUGACUAGGCUUUCUAUCUAUCUAGACUAGAUAUAUCCCUUGUCAUUUAUCCCUCGUCUUGUCGAUUAGUUUGUUUAUGUGACGAUUUCAAAAACUUUUUUGGUUUUGUUUAAAGCAUGCUACACGCGAUUGGUUGGUUAGAUUGGUGGCAUGGAGAGCAAAUUAAAAUGAUUCCCGCGUAAAUACGAACGUUCUAGAUGUAGCCUAUAAAUACUCCCGCUUAUCAUCACUUGAUAUCCAAACCACUACGGCGUUUCGAUCUCUGAACUGAAAAGGGGUGGGUUCGUACAACACCGGGUGCCCAGUUACAGCCGCGAUUAAUACUUCAGCCGACAUUUUUUUCAGUGAGUGAAUAAAGGUAGGUAGGAACCAAAGUGUCUGCCGAUGUUCCCUGGGAUCCACGCAAGCGAAGAGCGUCUACAUUCCGAUUGGCUGUCAGUGUUUGGCCGCUGAAGCGAAUAAUAGUCAUUUGCAUAAAGUUAAAAAGUUUUCAACUUCUUUUUGACGCUCUGGUCGCUCAACUUUGGCCGCUGGUAGCGUUGGUCGCUUUGGUCGCUUUGGUCGCUUUGGUCGCUCUUGCCCAUAGAAAGUGAAUGACUUCCGGCGAUUUGGUCGCUCAAUUCGCUUCUGGUGUGGACGGACAGUUACUAUUGGAACUCAGAUCGUGCGGCACCUUCUUUUUUUUCUUCCUUUGAACUCUUUCAACGUAGACUCAUAAAUAAUGUCAGCCGAUCAUGUCCUCUCUUUAAAGAUAAGUUAGUGCAUCUGUUGACAUGUGAACACUGUAUGUUGCAGGAAGAGCGAUCGCUCCUCAUUGGAUGUACCGACGUCCACUGUUGAUGACCCCGAAUCCCCCCUAUAGCCGGGGGUCCGACCAAUCACAGGGAAGCACAAGAGGGACGGCCGCAGGAAAAAGGACAGGAAGAGCAAGCGCUGCCGCCAGAGGAAGACCGGUGGGUAGAGGAAGAGGGACGGGCUAGGCAGGCCGCACGGCGCGAGUGAGCAGGGUAGUGAGCAGGAUGGUGAGCAGGAAGUGUUAUAGCCCCCAAUGGGCAGUUACUAGUAAUUACUGUUAGCAACAUCCUUUCCAUUCACAUUCAGGGAGUUUUGAAUUGAAUUGAAUAAAGUUUUUAUUUCGAACAAGUAAAUAAUAAUAAAAAUAGCAAUAAUAAACAAUAAAAUAAAUGAAACAAGUGGACGGUUACAAUAAAGUAAUAUUUACACACAAUGAAAACCACAAAAUAAAAUAAACUGUCUUACACUUGCUUUACCUGUUCGAAAAGGGGUGAGAAGAAGAAAACGUAUUUAAUCUCACCCCUUCUCCCUAAUUUAGUUACCUAUAAUGAGUAUUAGCUUCCUUAUUAAUGAUUUAAUAAUCAUCAAAAAAUAAUUAUGUAUUAAUAUAUAUUAGUUUACAAUAUGAUACAAUUCAUUACCACUUGUGUAUUUAUCUAAUAAUAUUGUCAAGUUAUCUUUUAAUAAUAUCUGAUUAAACAUUCAAUAUUAUAUAAAUACUGUCAAAUAUAUACCAUUAUAUACAUACAUGAAAACAUAUACACUAUGUUAAAGACCUUUUUCAUCCCUGUACCUCGUAAAAAUCAAUUCUUUGUAUUUUAAUUUAAACGGGUUAAUGUUUGGACAUUCCUUGAUCUCCCCACUCAAACUGUUCCAUAGUCUUACACCACAUAUUGAAAUACAAAACAUUUUCCUGGUCGUACGGACGCUGUUCACUUUUAAAUUUAAUUUUCCCCUUGAAUUAUAACCCCCCUCAUGAUCACUGAAUAAUAUUUGUAUGUUUAAGGGUAAUAUGUUGAUUUUAGCCUUAAACAUUAUCUGUGUGGUUUAGCAGACGCUUUGAUCCAAAGCGACUUACAAAGUAUUUUUGUCAGAAGAAGCAGACAUAGGUUGUUUCUUCAUCAUUCCUGUAAUCUUCUUACGUAAUAUCUUCAGUUUAUCUAACUGAAUGGCUAGUAACGUUUUCGCACCUUUCAUAAUUAUAGUUGUUAUAAUAUAUAUCAUAUGGUUCCAUACUGCCUUCUUUAAAGGGCAUUACUCACUCAAAUAAUAGUGAGAGUGAUACCAAUACAGAAGCAACCAUUUUUAACAUUUAUUUAUACAGUAAUUAUAUUGUUUUCAAAUAAAG